UGGGGAAUAUUGGACAAUGGGCGAAAGCCUGAUCCAGCCAUGCCGCGUGUGUUAAGAAGGUCUUCGGAUUGUAAAGCACUUUAAGUUGGGAGGAAGGGCGUUAACCUAAUACGUUAGUGUCUUGACGUUACCGAAAGAAUAAGCACAGGCUAACUCUGUGCCAGCAGCCGCGGUAAUACAGAGGGUGCAAGCGUUAAUCGGAAUUACUGGGCGGAAAGCGCGCGUAGGUGGUUUGCUAAGUUGAAUGUGAAAUCCCCGGGCUCAACCUGGGAACUGCAUCCAAAACUUGCAAGCUAGAGGAUGUUAGGAGGUUGUGGAAUUUCCUGUGUAGCGGUGAAAUGCGUAGAUAUAGGAAGGAACACCAGUGGCGAAGGCGACUUCCUGGACUUAUACUGACACUGAAGUGCGAAAGCAUGGGGAGCAAACA
RNAcentral lists this ribosomal RNA (427 nucleotides) under uncultured bacterium. Its description in RNAcentral is "bacterial SSU rRNA". It matches the Rfam family "Bacterial small subunit ribosomal RNA", at positions 355 to 774 of the family's 1533-position model. The record is from RNAcentral.